UACAUGGGGUGCAAACGUUGCUCGGAAUUAUUGGGCGUAAAGCGCGCGUAGGCGGUUGCUCAAGUCGGAUGUGAAAGCCCUCGGCUUAACUGAGGAAGUGCACCCGAAACUGAGCAGCUAGAGUACCAAAGAGGGUCGCGGAAUUCCCGGUGUAGUGGUGAAAUGCGUAGAUAUCGGGAGGAACACCAGUGGCGAAGGCGACUUCCUGGCCUGUUCUUGACGCUGAGGCGCGAAAGCUAGGGUAGCAAACGGG
This 253-nucleotide ribosomal RNA is filed under the name uncultured bacterium. RNAcentral describes it as "partial 16S ribosomal RNA". It matches the Rfam family "Bacterial small subunit ribosomal RNA", at positions 524 to 776 of the family's 1533-position model. The record is from RNAcentral.